GACGAACGCUGGCGGCGUGCUUAACACAUGCAAGUCGAGCGGUAAGGCCCUUUCGGGGGUACACGAGCGGCGAACGGGUGAGUAACACGUGGGUGACCUGCCUUUAGCUCUGGGAUAAGCCUGGGAAACUGGGUCUAAUACCGGAUAUGACUCCAUGAUGCAUGUUGUGGGGUGGAAAGCCUUGUGCGGCUGGAGAUGGGCCCGCGGCCUAUCAGCUUGUUGGUGGGGUGAUGGCCUACCAAGGCGACGACGGGUAGCCGGCCUGAGAGGGCGACCGGCCACACUGGGACUGAGACACGGCCCAGACUCCUACGGGAGGCAGCAGUGGGGAAUCUUGCGCAAUGGGCGAAAGCCUGACGCAGCGACGCCACGUGAGGGAUGAC
This 383-nucleotide ribosomal RNA is filed under the name uncultured bacterium. RNAcentral's name for it is "bacterial SSU rRNA". It matches the Rfam family "Bacterial small subunit ribosomal RNA", at positions 28 to 412 of the family's 1533-position model. The record is from RNAcentral.